This 338-nucleotide transfer-messenger RNA is filed under the name Candidatus Portiera aleyrodidarum (primary endosymbiont of Bemisia tabaci). It matches the Rfam family "transfer-messenger RNA". Rfam says of the family: Bacterial tmRNA, also known as 10Sa RNA or SsrA, is named for its dual tRNA and mRNA-like properties. Its role is to liberate the mRNA from a stalled ribosome. To accomplish this part of the tmRNA is used as a reading frame that ends in a translation stop signal. The record is from RNAcentral. Lineage: Bacteria; Pseudomonadati; Pseudomonadota; Gammaproteobacteria; Johnevansiales (SeqCode); Johnevansiaceae (SeqCode).
GGGGGCGUUAUGGAUUCGACAUAAAUAAAAACUUUUAAGUGUCAUGUCGAGAUUUAACUUAUCUCGUUAAUUAAAAGUUAAUAUAUAUUUGCCAAUAAUAAAAGUUUUGCUCAUAAUUUAGGAUUAGCAGCAUAAAUUCAACUUCCUAAGUUUAUGGAACUAGUAUAGCGUUCAUUAAUGUCUUUUUAUUGAACGUUCAAUAUAUAAUAAGACUUACUUUAAUAAAUCGUGCUCAUCAGGUUUAUUAAUAAAGUAAAUUUUUAUAAAGAUGAAGAUAAACAUGUAUCAACUUAAUAAUUUCUAUUUAUGGACGCGGGUUCAAAUCCCGCCGCCUCCAC